AGGAAGAAAAGAAUCUUGUUGAAGUUCGCUUUCCUAUUAUUACAUAUCGGGCACUGUGAACAUUAUUUUAUAAAUCAAGAUGCCAAGAAAAUUCCAGCCCGAAGUCUAUAUUUGAUUACAGACAAACAUUUUAUCCCCGUCGUCUUUCUUCGCAGUGAAGCCAAACGCUUUCCUUUGUUUACACAGCGGUUGUCAUGGUGACCACCAUACUCGUUGUUCGAACGUACUAGAAUUGUUCUUUUGCCAAAGUUAUUUGUCGUCCUAUUUACUGUUUGCUAAUUAAGGAAAGCUUAAUUUGACGUUUUGUUAAUAUUUUUGUUUUGACAUUACUUAAAUUAUUGUAUGUCAAGAGAUACCCGUAAGGAUAAUUUGAUACUUGCAUGCAUAUCCUGGAUCGUAUGCUCAGUCAUAAGAGUGAUAAGAUAUUUGUUUUUAUCUUAUCAAGGCUGAUGGCAGUUACGGUUGUGGUACCUGAAUUUGAAAUUAGAGAUAUCUCUGGUUUAAGCUAGCGACUUAGAUAUGAAAUUGUAGUUUAAUGGGAUGAUUUUGCGGGUAAAUCUGACCAGGGCACUUUGUGCAGAAGGUGAAUAUUUUUAUUGAUAAAUUGAAUGCUAUGAAGACAAAUACAAAAAGUUUAUGCCAGAGAUCUGUCUGCGUACCGACCCAUAGAGAUGUCGUUGUGUGUAAUUAUGUCUAGCAUAAUUGACAAACUUAUCGCUCUAAGGUUUAUUGCUUCUUAGUAUUAUAAAUAUUAAUUAGUAAGUUUAACCAUAUUAGAUAUUGAGAUAAAUGAUCGAUUCUGCUACAUCAAAAAUUGCAGGUAUGUCUAUUUAUGAACCAGAAUUGGUAAUUACUCUCUACCCUCUCGAUAUAUAGCCCGAGAAACCAUUAUAAUCUCUUUCGACACAUGUUAGAUAUGAAGUUGAAGUCGGUGUUCAUCGCACAAAUGGCAUCUAGUGAGGGUAGUAUCGGCCGGUCGAGCUGCACAGCGACGGUUCAGUCACAAACAGGCGAGGGUGGGCGACGGCGACCGGUCGUGUUGACUUCCGUUCUGCGACGAAUAACAAAGACAGAAAACGAAGUAGGGACAGACAGGGAAACAAGCGUGACAAAGAGCGGAAGAAAGUCCAUCCGGUCGACGAGGUGACAACUUCCCGUCGGUCUCGCACUCCUCGGAGGGCACGGAAACCCUCGCCCGUGAGACCCGCCAACACGUCGUGGACUUGUUACGAUGAAAACGAUACUAGCAUUGCGUAUAUCUUG
RNAcentral lists this long non-coding RNA (1263 nucleotides) under Penaeus japonicus. Its description in RNAcentral is "uncharacterized LOC122247240". The record is from RNAcentral. Lineage: Eukaryota; Metazoa; Arthropoda; Malacostraca; Decapoda; Penaeidae.